This 1155-nucleotide long non-coding RNA is filed under the name Ananas comosus (pineapple). RNAcentral describes it as "long non-coding RNA (ACOM_LNC018472)". The record is from RNAcentral. Lineage: Eukaryota; Viridiplantae; Streptophyta; Magnoliopsida; Poales; Bromeliaceae.
AAUUUCAAAUGUGUGGUUAUAUGUCGUCGACAAUCUCAAGCACUCUUUCUGUAUAUAUAUAAAAUAAAGCUAAAAAUAAUUUCAGAAAUAAACGAUCUUAUUUACUUUUAGAUUAUUCAAAUCGAUGAUCAACACUGUUAAAUUUUAUAUAUAUAGGCUAUUUGAACUUUCUAAGUUUUAAAUCUCACAACGUUUCAACAUCAUUUGACUAAUAUUUAAGUGGCCUCAAAAUUGAUAAUAUUUGAUUGGUAAAUAUAAGAUGAAUUUAACAAUAGUUGAUCACUAGGCAAAUGAAGCAAUUAAUGGGGUCAACAGGUUAAUUAAAUAUGGGCAAACCCAUGCAUAAGGCUCCACACACACAUAUAUAUGUAUAGGCUCAUGCGCUUUCGAAAGCACAGAGUCCUUCGUGCUUGUAAAUUAUUUUUGAUGAUAGGACAUUUGAUUUGACGAUUGGCUCGGUUAGACAUAUCCUACGCUAUUGGAAUUAUCUUAAAGCUAAAUUUCAUAAUUUUUCGAUAUCAAUUACUAAGUGAUCAAAAAAUUUCAAAAAUGAUUAUUUUACCGGCCUAUGUGCACGUUCUAUAUUCAGUGUAGAACAAUCUAAAUUACAUAAAAUUUUAAUAAAAAAUUCUACUUAACAUCAAUAGCAAGAUUAAUAUUUCUGUUGUAAAAUUUGAAUUUUUUAUCAAUAUUUUUUAUGAGAUUUUUUUUGUCAGCGUUCAUUUUGAGGCUACUUGUUUACUUGACAAAUGAAAUCAAUAAAUUAUGAAAUUUGGUUUAUAGAUAAUUUCAAUAGUAUAGAUUAUAUUUAAUGUAACCGAUUGCCAAAUCGGAUAUCCUAUCAUCGAAAAUAAUUUAAAAAUACAGAGGCCUCCAUAUUUUUGAAAAUAUAUGAGCCUAGCUCUCUCUCUCUCUCUCUCUCUCUCUCUCUCUCUCUCUAUAUAUAUAUAUAUAUAUGUACACCAACUGUACCUAUCUAGUUCUCUAAGAGUUUUAUGGUUGGUAUAUGAUGUUUUACUUUCGAAGAUUUAUUAUUUUAUAUUUCUAACUAAGUGUAUUUUUAGAAAAAUAAACAAAGCAGAUAACUAGUUACUUUUCAUCUACGUCCACAUACAUAUAAACCUAAUAAGCCUGUCACUUUUUUUUUUUCGAAUU